CCUACGGGGUGCAGCAGUGGGGGAUAUUGCACAAUGGGGGGAACCCUGAUGCAGCGACGCCGCGUGGGUGAAGAAGCGCCUCGGCGCGUAAAGCCCUGUCAGCAGGGAAGAAAAUGACGGUACCUGGAGAAGAAGCCCCGUCUCACUACGUGCCAGCAGCCGCGGGAAUACGUAGGGGGCAAGCGUUAUCCGGAUUUACUGGGUGUAAAGGGGGCGCAGACGGCGAUGCAAGCCAGGAGUGAAAGCCCGGGGCCCAACCCCGGAACUGCUCUGGAAACCGGGCGGCUAGAGUGCUGGAGGGGCAGGCGGAAUUCGUGGUGUAGCGGUGAAAUGCGUAGAUAUUAGGAGGAACACCAGUGGCGAAGGCGGCCUGCUGGACAGUAACUGACGUUGAGGCUCGAAAGCGUGGGGAGCAAACAGGAGUAGAUACCCUUGUAGUC
RNAcentral lists this ribosomal RNA (440 nucleotides) under uncultured bacterium. RNAcentral's name for it is "partial 16S ribosomal RNA". It matches the Rfam family "Bacterial small subunit ribosomal RNA", at positions 338 to 795 of the family's 1533-position model. The record is from RNAcentral.